Molecule: ribosomal RNA, 1501 nt
Filed under: Salmonella enterica subsp. enterica
Lineage: Bacteria; Pseudomonadati; Pseudomonadota; Gammaproteobacteria; Enterobacterales; Enterobacteriaceae
Description: partial 23S ribosomal RNA
Rfam family: Bacterial large subunit ribosomal RNA
Source: RNAcentral
AAUCCAUAGGUUAAUGAGGCGAACCGGGGGAACUGAAACAUCUAAGUACCCCGAGGAAAAGAAAUCAACCGAGAUUCCCCCAGUAGCGGCGAGCGAACGGGGAGGAGCCCAGAGCCUGAAUCAGCAUGUGUGUUAGUGGAAGCGUCUGGAAAGGCGCGCGAUACAGGGUGACAGCCCCGUACACAAAAGCGCAUGUGCUGUGAGCUCGAUGAGUAGGGCGGGACACGUGGUAUCCUGUCUGAAUAUGGGGGGACCAUCCUCCAAGGCUAAAUACUCCUGACUGACCGAUAGUGAACCAGUACCGUGAGGGAAAGGCGAAAAGAACCCCGGCGAGGGGAGUGAAAAAGAACCUGAAACCGUGUACGUACAAGCAGUGGGAGCACAGGUUUACCUGUGUGACUGCGUACCUUUUGUAUAAUGGGUCAGCGACUUAUAUUCUGUAGCAAGGUUAACCGUAUAGGGGAGCCGGAGGGAAACCGAGUCUUAAUUGGGCGUUAAGUUGCAGGGUAUAGACCCGAAACCCGGUGAUCUAGCCAUGGGCAGGUUGAAGGUUGGGUAACACUAACUGGAGGACCGAACCGACUAAUGUUGAAAAAUUAGCGGAUGACCUGUGGCUGGGGGUGAAAGGCCAAUCAAACCGGGAGAUAGCUGGUUCUCCCCGAAAGCUAUUUAGGUAGCGCCUCGUGAAUUCAUCUCCGGGGGUAGAGCACUGUUUCGGCUAGGGGGCCAUCCCGGCUUACCAACCCGAUGCAAACUGCGAAUACCGGAGAAUGUUAUCACGGGAGACACACGGCGGGUGCUAACGUCCGUCGUGAAGAGGGAAACAACCCAGACCGCCAGCUAAGGUCCCAAAGUCAUGGUUAAGUGGGAAACGAUGUGGGAAGGCCCAGACAGCCAGGAUGUUGGCUUAGAAGCAGCCAUCAUUUAAAGAAAGCGUAAUAGCUCACUGGUCGAGUCGGCCUGCGCGGAAGAUGUAACGGGGCUAAACCAUGCACCGAAGCUGCGGCAGCGAACGUAUCACCCAAGACAACUUUACGGAGUUGACGAUUGACGGAGCGAAGCGACGUCAAAGCGUUCAUUAAAGUCGAGUUGGCUUAGGGAUACGUUCGUUGGGUAGGGGAGCGUUCUGUAAGCCUGUGAAGGUGUGUCGUGAGGCAUGCUGGAGGUAUCAGAAGUGCGAAUGCUGACAUAAGUAACGAUAAAGCGGGUGAAAAGCCCGCUCGCCGGAAGACCAAGGGUUCCUGUCCAACGUUAAUCGGGGCAGGGUGAGUCGACCCCUAAGGCGAGGCCGAAAGGCGUAGUCGAUGGGAAACGGGUUAAUAUUCCCGUACUUGGUGUUACUGCGAAGGGGGGACGGAGAAGGCUAUGUUGGCCGGGCGACGGUUGUCCCGGUUUAAGCGUGUAGGUGUGUGUUCCAGGUAAAUCCGGUUCACUUUAACACUGAGGCGUGACGACGAGGCACUACGGUGCUGAAGCAACAAAUGCCCUGCUUCCAGGAAAA